RNAcentral lists this ribosomal RNA (465 nucleotides) under Vreelandella stevensii. RNAcentral's name for it is "partial 16S ribosomal RNA". It matches the Rfam family "Bacterial small subunit ribosomal RNA", at positions 338 to 795 of the family's 1533-position model. The record is from RNAcentral. Lineage: Bacteria; Pseudomonadati; Pseudomonadota; Gammaproteobacteria; Oceanospirillales; Halomonadaceae.
CCUACGGGGGGCUGCAGUGGGGAAUAUUGGACAAUGGGCGAAAGCCUGAUCCAGCCAUGCCGCGUGCGUGAAGAAGGCCUUCGGGUUGUAAAGCACUUUCAGUGGGGAAGAAAGCCUUGGGGCUAAUACCCUCGAGGAAGGACAUCACCCACAGAAGAAGCACCGGCUAACUCCGUGCCAGCAGCCGCGGUAAUACGGAGGGUGCGAGCGUUAAUCGGAAUUACUGGGCGUAAAGCGCGCGUAGGCGGUCUGAUAAGCCGGUUGUGAAAGCCCCGGGCUCAACCUGGGAACGGCAUCCGGAACUGUCAGGCUAGAGUGCAGGAGAGGAAGGUAGAAUUCCCGGUGUAGCGGUGAAAUGCGUAGAGAUCGGGAGGAAUACCAGUGGCGAAGGCGGCCUUCUGGACUGACACUGACGCUGAGGUGCGAAAGCGUGGGUAGCAAACAGGAUUAGAUACCCUGGUAGUC